CAUAGAGAUCAUUCCCAGUAUGAGAUUUAUUCCCCUGCAGUCCAUACAUCCCCGGCCCGUGCACCUUCUCAUCCUCCCCUUCAGAUAACACUUAUCUUCUCUGUGAGGUCCUUCUCCUGUGCAGACCUGCUUCCUUAGAAUACAGAGCAGGGGGGAGGGGGAAGUGAGGAGCUGUGUACUCAGCUGGAUGAGGGGGCGUGGAUUAUUCCUCUCAUGCACAAAGAAAAAAAAAGCUGUGACAUCUUGUCCCCAAUAGACUCAGGACUGUGGACAACAGUAAAAGAAAACCUUCUGAACUACAGAACUUCCUGCCCAACGAACAGAUGGUGCACCAAGACUUCAAUCUGGAAACCUUUUAGUGAUUUUAAGACAUAUACCAUUAUCAGAUGUCUUAUUCCUGCCUGUGUCCAAUAGUCGGAAUAAAAAUAACAUGCCAGUGGAGGAAUGAGGAAUGGUCAUGUGGCCUGAUGAGACAAAAAUGGAUCUUUUUGGUCUAAACUCUACUCGCCGUGUUUGGAGGAAGAAAAAGGAUGAGUACAAACCCAAGAACACCUUUACACGACUAAAGCAUGGAGGUGGGAACAGACCCGAAACCUGAAGGAUCUGGAGAAGAUUACGUCUCUCGCAGUUGAAGAUUACCUAUGAUAAAAAUUACAGACCUCUACAUGCUUUGUAAAUUGGAAAACCUGCAAAAUCGGCAGUGUAUCAAAUUUAAUAUCAAAUGGGCCUCCAUCCAUUGGGAGAAUGCUGGCCUCAUAUCUCCUUUUUAUAUUAUUGGCUGAUUUGGCAUAUCUGGCAAAAUCCAGAUGGGUCAGUACAUCUUUGGACCACUCUUCUCUGUCCUUCCCUGAACCUCAGAUGCUUCUCCAUAGGAUAACUAAAGAAACUACCGGAACUCUACUGCUUGAAGUAGUUAUGCAAACAAUUAUAUAUGCCUUUUUUAAAGUGUUAGAGACACUGACAUAUGUAGAACAUUUUCAGAUUUGCUACUAAAAAAAUCGCAAAGCUACACAUCCAGUUUAACUAUGUUGUGUUACAAUAUCUGGCCUUCUGCAGUUCCUUGCUGGCUUGGAAUAGGACUUAGUGCAGUAAUUUAUUGCGAGAGUACUAUGGCCUUCUAAACAAAAAUUGUUAGAAUAUUACUUGCUACAUGUUGCUUCUUGGAAGUGUUUGCUGAAUUACAGAAAUCGUUUUUUCCUCUGUUACAUUAACCACUUCUGUGGAUUAAAGCAUCCUGGCAGUCAUCAAUCAGUUCUGCAACAACAAUUUUAAAUGUGCAUGUCGAGUUUGCAGUGGCCAGAGACCAUGGUGUGGAAAGCCAGCUGCCAUCAACAACCAAUCUCUCCAGACAGAAAGCAGGGAUGGACUAUUACCAUGCUAUGAACGCUGUGUAUACAGCAGAGCCAUAAGGCUUUCUGUUUCAGUGAACAUUGGGUGCCAGGUAGCUGCAAUGGGCUGUUGUGUCUUAUCAAACCCAGAUCGGGUCUCCAAUGAGUGUCAGGGGCUGUAUUUACAGCGUUUGCUGGCAUACACAGCAAAAUUUUUAUGUGUUACAUACAAAUUAUGCUACAGAUGCAAUGCAAAUUUUACCUUCAUCACAUGUGAUAAAACCCUUUACAAAUCCUCAACAAAAUGAGCAUGGUGUGGCUGAAAAUCUGGGGGUAACAUUCACUGCCAUUCUGAACUGGGUAGAUUCACCCAAAGGAUGUUCAAACUUGGUGAAAUUGCCAUAAAUUGGCAGUGUAGUACCCAGGGCAAAUUGGUUCUGCUUUCAUCUGCUACAGUCUGCAGUACCAUUAAAGGAAAUCUUUCAUUAGUGUCACCUGCACUUACCUGUCGGUAUAGACAGGUAGUGCAGGUGACACGGACUACAACGAUACUUACCUGGUCCUGUUCUGUGCUCUGCUUCUUUUGCUAUAAUUUUUAGUAUCUUUCACUCCGGGCCUACUUGGAUCAUGGGUGUAGCUUCACUGCUGCUG
Long non-coding RNA from Hyla sarda, 1979 nucleotides. RefSeq lists it as uncharacterized. The record is from RefSeq and is a predicted model, not a curated record. NCBI's taxonomy places the organism in Eukaryota, Metazoa, Chordata, Amphibia, Anura, Hylidae. The transcript is spliced from 7 exons.